GCACUGCUGAGGAGUCCCGUGUUAAGACGAAACGGCCGUCCAGUGC
Molecule: non-coding RNA, 46 nt
Organism: Schistosoma mattheei
Lineage: Eukaryota; Metazoa; Platyhelminthes; Trematoda; Strigeidida; Schistosomatidae
Source: Rfam